CCUACGGGUGGCAGCAGUGAGGAAUAUUGGUCAAUGGUCGCGAGCCUGAACCAGCCAAGUAGCGUGAAGGAUGACUGCCCUACGUGUUGUAAACUUCUUUUGUAAAGGAAUAAAGUGAGGCACGUGUGCCUUUUUGUAUGUACUUGAUGAAUAAGGAUCGGCUAACUCCGUGCCAGCAGCCGCGGUAAUACGGAGGAUCCGAGCGUUAUCCGGAUUUAUUGGGUUUAAGGGGAGCGUAGAUGGGUUGUUAAGUCAGUUGUGAAAGUUUGCGGCUCAACCGUAAAAGUGCAAUUGAUACUGGCAGGCUUGAGUACAGUUGAGGUAGGCGGAAUUCGUGGUGUAGCGGUGAAAUGCUUAGAUAUCACGAAGAACUCCGAUUGCGAAGGCAGCUUACUAAACUGCCACUGACAUUGAUGCUCGAAAGUGUGGGUAUCAAACAGGAUUAGAUACCCUAGUAGUC
Molecule: ribosomal RNA, 460 nt
Filed under: uncultured bacterium
Lineage: Bacteria
Description: partial 16S ribosomal RNA
Rfam family: Bacterial small subunit ribosomal RNA
Source: RNAcentral